GACGAACGCUGGCGGCGUGCUUAACACAUGCAAGUCGAACGGAAAGGCCCUGCUUUUGUGGGGUGCUCGAGUGGCGAACGGGUGAGUAACACGUGAGUAACCUGCCCUUGACUUUGGGAUAACUUCAGGAAACUGGGGCUAAUACCGGAUAGGAGCUCCUGCUGCAUGGUGGGGGUUGGAAAGUUUCGGCGGUUGGGGAUGGACUCGCGGCUUAUCAGCUUGUUGGUGGGGUAGUGGCUUACCAAUGCUUUGACGGGUAGCGGGCCUGAGAGGGUGACCGGCCACAUUGGGACUGAGAUACGGCCCAGCCUCCUACGGGAGGCAGUAGUGGGGAAUAUUGCACAAUGGGCGGAAGCCUGAUGCAGCAACGCCGCGUGCGGGAUGACGGCCUUCGGGUUGUAAACCGCUUUCGCCUGUGACGAAGCGUGAGUGACGGUAAUGGGUAAAGAAGCACCGGCUAACUACGUG
Molecule: ribosomal RNA, 468 nt
Filed under: uncultured bacterium
Lineage: Bacteria
Description: partial 16S ribosomal RNA
Rfam family: Bacterial small subunit ribosomal RNA
Source: RNAcentral